AGCGAACGCUGGCGGCAGGCCUAACACAUGCAAGUCGAACGAACCUUUCGGGGUUAGUGGCGGACGGGUGAGUAACACGUGGGAACGUGCCUUUAGGUUCGGAAUAACUCAGGGAAACUUGUGCUAAUACCGAAUGUGCCCUUCGGGGGAAAGAUUAAUCGCCUUUAGAGCGGCCCGCGUCUGAUUAGCUAGUUGGUUGAGGUAAUGGCUCACCAAGGCGACGAUCAGUAGCUGGUCUGAGAGGAUGAUCAGCCACAUUGGGACUGAGACACGGCCCAAACUCCGAGGGGACGGAGGAGUGGAAAAGCAGAGAAUAGGGCAGAAGGGGUGACACGGGAAUGGUGCGAGAAUGAGGUAGGGUUGAGGAGUGAAAGAUUGUAGAGCGGGGGGAGUAAGUAAGGGUACACGGAGAAGAAGCACCGGCUGUGUUCGGGCGAGCGGAGGAGAAAGUCGGGGGGAGGAGCAAG
This 467-nucleotide ribosomal RNA is filed under the name uncultured bacterium. RNAcentral's name for it is "partial 16S ribosomal RNA". The stretch from base 21 to 302 matches the Rfam family "Bacterial small subunit ribosomal RNA", at positions 48 to 357 of the family's 1533-position model. The record is from RNAcentral.